RNAcentral lists this ribosomal RNA (407 nucleotides) under uncultured bacterium. Its description in RNAcentral is "partial 16S ribosomal RNA". It matches the Rfam family "Bacterial small subunit ribosomal RNA", at positions 28 to 526 of the family's 1533-position model. The record is from RNAcentral.
GACGAACGCUGGCGGCGUGCCUAAUACAUGCAAGUAGAACGCAGUUGCGAACGGGUGAGUACCGCGUAGGUAACUGCCUGGUAGCGGGGGAUAACUAUUGGAAACGAUAGCUAAUACCGCAUACUACCAGAUGGACCUGCGUUGUAUUAGCUAGUUGGUGAGGUAACCGGUCACCAAGGCAACGAUACAUAGCCGACCGGGGAGGGUGAGUGGCCAAACUGGGACUUGUGACAGGGCCAGAAUCCUACGGGAGGCAGCAGGAGGGGAACUUCGGAAAUGGGGGGAACCCCGACCGAGCAAAGCCGCGGGAGUGAAGAAGGUUUUCGGAUCGGAAAGCUCUGUUGUUAAGGAAGCGGUACUUAACCAGAAAGGGACGGCUAACUACGUGCCAGCAGCCGCGGUAAUAC